GGAGAGGUGGCCGAGUGGCUUAAGGCGCUCCCCUGCUAAGGGAGUAUGCCCUUCACAGGGGUAUCGAGGGUUCGAAUCCCUCCCUCUCCGCCA
This 93-nucleotide transfer RNA is filed under the name Bacteroidetes bacterium QS_9_68_14. RNAcentral's name for it is "tRNA-Ser". It matches the Rfam family "tRNA". Rfam says of the family: Transfer RNA (tRNA) molecules are approximately 80 nucleotides in length. Their secondary structure includes four short double-helical elements and three loops (D, anti-codon, and T loops). The record is from RNAcentral. Lineage: Bacteria; Pseudomonadati; Bacteroidota.